GAUGAACGCUGGCUACAGGCUUAACACAUGCAAGUCGAGGGGAAACGACGGGGAAGCUUGCUUCCCCGGGCGUCGACCGGCGCACGGGUGAGUAACGCGUAUCCAACCUGCCUCUGACUGAGGGAUAACCCGUCGAAAGUCGGCCUAAUACCUCAUGGCAUCGUCUGCGGGCAUCCAACGACGAUUAAAGAUUUCAUCGGUCAGAGAUGGGGAUGCGUCUGAUUAGCUUGUUGGCGGGGUAACGGCCCACCAAGGCGACGAUCAGUAGGGGUUCUGAGAGGAAGGUCCCCCACAUUGGAACUGAGACACGGUCCAAACUCCUACGGGAGGCAGCAGUGAGGAAUAGUGGUCAAUGGGCGAGAGCCUGAACCAGCCAAGUAGCGUGCAGGAUGACGGCCCUAUGGGUUGUAAACUGCUUUUAUACGGGGAUAAAGUGAGGGACGUGUCCUCCAUUGCAGGUACCGCAUGAAUAAGGACCGGCUAAUUCCGUG
Molecule: ribosomal RNA, 491 nt
Filed under: uncultured bacterium
Lineage: Bacteria
Description: partial 16S ribosomal RNA
Rfam family: Bacterial small subunit ribosomal RNA
Source: RNAcentral